This 428-nucleotide ribosomal RNA is filed under the name uncultured bacterium. RNAcentral describes it as "bacterial SSU rRNA". It matches the Rfam family "Bacterial small subunit ribosomal RNA", at positions 355 to 774 of the family's 1533-position model. The record is from RNAcentral.
UGGGGAAUAUUGGACAAUGGGGGGAACCCUGAUCCAGCCAUGCCGCGUGUGUGAAGAAUGCCUUAUGGUUGUAAAGCACUUUAAGCGAGGAGGAGGCUCUCUUGGUUAAUACCCAAGAUGAGUGGACGUUACUCGCAGAAUAAGCACCGGCUAACUCUGUGCCAGCAGCCGCGGUAAUACAGAGGGUGCGAGCGUUAAUCGGAUUUACUGGGCGUAAAGCGUGCGUAGGCGGCUUUUUAAGUCGGAUGUGAAAUCCCCGAGCUAAACUUGGGAAUUGCAUUCAAUACUGGGAAGCUAGAGUAUGGGGAGGGAUGGUAGAAUUCCAGGUGUAGCGGGGAAAUGCGUAGAAAUCUGAAGGAAUACCGAUGGCGAGGGCAGCCAUCUGGCCUAAUACUGACGCUGAGGUACAAAGGCAUGGGGAGCAAACA